Molecule: ribosomal RNA, 255 nt
Filed under: uncultured bacterium
Lineage: Bacteria
Description: partial 16S ribosomal RNA
Rfam family: Bacterial small subunit ribosomal RNA
Source: RNAcentral
GUGGACGGGUGAGUAAUGUCUGGGAAACUGCCUGAUGGAGGGGGAGUAACUACUGGAAACGGUAGCUAAUACCGCAUAACGUCGCAAGACCAAAGAGGGGGACCUUCGGGCCUCUUGCCAUCGGAUGUGCCCAGAUGGGAUUAGCUAGUAGGUGGGGUAACGGCUCACCUAGGCGACGAUCCCUAGCUGGUCUGAGAGGAUGACCAGCCACACUGGAACUGAGACACGGUCCAGACUCCUACGGGAGGCAGCAUG